AAAACCAGAUCUUUUGAUCCCACUGUAGUCCUUUUCUUUAUAUUCUGCUGAAGGAGGUUGGGGAAAGCACUUCCUUUGUUCACUUCCUUAUUCAGCAUUUUUCAGCAGUGACUUUGCAUCAGGGCCUUGGUAGGUGCUUGGAAACAGAAAACAAGAAAUGACCCUUCUCUGCAGGGCAGAAAGCCUAGACCAAAAGCUGGGUAAUGUGAUCCGAGCUACGGUAGCCAUUUGAAGACUCUGAGGACAAACUGUACCCCCGGAUUUACUUGAGCUUCCCUUGCCUUCUGGUUGGUACACACCAGGUCACCACAACCCAGAUGGGCCUGCAGCCCACAGUACAGUAUGUACCUCGAUCUCCUCUGCCCUCUCGUCAGGGCCUGCAACAUGAGCAUCCCUGACUACGAGCAGUGUGCUGAGGACCACCAGACUUUCCCCGUGGUGGUCGAACAGGUGGGGAUCAUCUCAGAGGAGAAUUUCUUUUGCAUCUAUAAGUGAAUCACCUUGGUGAGUCAGAUCAGUCCGUGCGGCUCCCAGUGGGCAAACUGUAUCCACUACAGGCACCACUAUGCGCCCAAGAAUGGGUGGAGCGACUUCCAGACCCACCGCAAGGUCUUGGGCCUUGUCAUCAUUACUGACUGCCUCUCGGCCAAGGCUUCGAAAAGCUCCACGUGCAGAGGAGCUGUAUGGCACCACGCUCUAUGACUCUUAGCUCUUUGACUUUCUGCUGCAUGGGGAGGUGGCCGAGCAGCCGCGCACCAAAGUGGCCUUCAAUUUACGAGGACUGCAGGGUGGUGGAGAAGAGGAUCAAGGACUUCACUGAGUCACUCUUCAUCUUGCCCAAGUCCAAGAGGCUGGACUGUGCAUCCGACAAUUCUGGGGACAAGAUCCUCCUUCUCUGCAUCCCAUUUGAGAAGGAGGACAUCAUGGGACUGGACACAGAAAGCAGUACGUUUUGGUUACUGAGUCCCUCGAAUUCCCAUAUGAAUUGUAGCAGCAGCUAGUCAGUUACUGCAGAGGAGCCGGCUGGGAUUGUGAUCGAGACCACGUUGAGUAUACAGAUCGCUCUGGGGAGCACUGCCAUCCCAAGAGCGCUGUCAUCUGAUCCAGGAAUGUGCGUGGUGUGUCUGUCCAGGGGAAAAGAGUACAAUUCAAAAAUAUAAAGAUUGUGAGCUAAUGAGAUAGACAAGACAACCGAACAUUUGUUAAAUAUCCUUUCAUGCCGGAAACAAAUGUAUUAUACACACAAAAAGCACACAAAUCACGGUAGUACUGCGGUUACAAACGUGGGUCCGAGUUCAAGUCCUGCUCUGGAGUGACCAGUCCUGUGAGAUGGAGAACUGAGUUCUAUGUAUAGUUGGUUACAUUCUAUACCUGGAAAUUUCUCCAAAACUGCUUCCCACGUGCCCUCACCUCCAGUGGCAUCCAUCCAGACACCAGCACUGACACUGGCCGUGCUCACAACUGCCUUAGCCCUGAAGACACAACUGACAAAUAGAAGGGGGCUACGCCCUAAGACAGCAGGUGCUCUUACUUUGUGGGUCCUUAUGUAACUGCGCGGUGUUAUUCAGGAUCGCCCGUUCUACACUUUGUGACGCUGCUGCCGUGUCUCCUAGUUAUUUCUGAUCUGAGAAGCAGGAGCAAGGAACUCAGGGAGAGAUCCAGGAAGACAUCUGACUCUGUUAAGAGACGACAGUCACAGCGACACGGGGAGCGAGGACACUUGCAGCAAAGUAAAAUGACUUCACAACUAUUGCAUCAGAGCUGCAGGUGUGAGAGAGCCUAAGCCUGUCUCAGAGUGCAGGGGAGAAGAGGAAAGGAAUGGUAAAAUUAACACUGACAAUUGAAAUUUUGUUAAAUAGCCUGCUAAUAUUAAUUGUAUCAAAUGAAUGUAUGCAGGUGUAUUUCUAUGAUCAUUUUAGGUACACACAACCCCACCAGCCCCUCUUUCUCCCAUCGGGGAUGGGCUUUCUCAAGCACAGUGCCCCUCCUGGUUGAGUGGGCCACGCUGCGGGUCCUCGUCUGGGGCCAGGCUGCUGCAGGACACUGAGUCCCCGAGGCACGGCCUGGGAGACAUGACAGGAACAUCUCUGCUCAUAACUGAGAGCCUCCGUUUCCCCCUGCAGUGUAAGAAUGCCGGUGACUCAGUUAGAAGCAUGCAUCCAAAACGUCCUUCCGUGUCAUCACCAUCUAGAAUCGGUGCCUGAAUCUUCUGAAUUUCUCCAGAAUGUGGUUUAAAAUCACCUUCGACAAUUGAGUGUGUGUCCUCUUACAAGUGGAGGAAUUGCUGCCGUUUCCCUGGAACUUACUCACCACUAGUCCAUCUGAUUUUUCUGUGCUAGGAUUCAGUAUGGCAUGCUAAAAAUUCUGCAGUCAGAUCUUGAAACACUGAUGA
Long non-coding RNA from Camelus dromedarius (Arabian camel), 2392 nucleotides. RefSeq lists it as uncharacterized. Lineage: Eukaryota; Metazoa; Chordata; Mammalia; Artiodactyla; Camelidae. The record is from RefSeq and is a predicted model, not a curated record. The transcript has 6 exons.